UACAGAGGUCCCAAGCGUUGUUCGGAUUCACUGGGCGUAAAGGGUGCGUAGGCGGUGGGGUAAGUCGGAUGUGAAAUCUCCGAGCUCAACUCGGAAAUGGCAUUGGAAACUACCCUGCUAGAGGGUCGGAGGGGGGACUGGAAUACUUGGUGUAGCAGUGAAAUGCGUAGAUAUCAAGUGGAACACCAGUGGCGAAGGCGAGUCCCUGGACGACUCCUGACACUGAGGCACGAAAGCUAGGGGAGCAAACAGG
Molecule: ribosomal RNA, 253 nt
Filed under: uncultured bacterium
Lineage: Bacteria
Description: partial 16S ribosomal RNA
Rfam family: Bacterial small subunit ribosomal RNA
Source: RNAcentral